AUUGAACGCUGGCGGCAGGCCUAACACAUGCAAGUCGAGCGAGAGGCGGACGGGUGAGUAAUGUCUGGGAAACUGCCCGAUGGAGAGGGAUAACUACUGGGAACGGUAGCUCAUACCGCAUACCAUCUUAUAUGCCCAGAUGGGAUUAGCUAGUAGGUGGGGUAAAGGCUCACCUAGGCGACGAUCCCUAGCUGGUCUGCGAGGAUGACCAGCCACACUGGAACUGAGACACGGUCCAGGCUCAUACGCGAGGCAGCAGUGGGGAAUAUUGCACAAUGGGCGCAAGCCUGAUGCAGCCAGGCCGCGUGUAUGAAGAAGGCCUUCGGGUUGUAAAGUACUUUCAGCGAGGAGGCGUUACCCGCAGAAGAAGCACCGGCGAACUCCGUGCCAGCAGCCGCGGUAAUAC
RNAcentral lists this ribosomal RNA (406 nucleotides) under uncultured bacterium. RNAcentral's name for it is "partial 16S ribosomal RNA". It matches the Rfam family "Bacterial small subunit ribosomal RNA", at positions 30 to 526 of the family's 1533-position model. The record is from RNAcentral.